This 2714-nucleotide long non-coding RNA is filed under the name Phaseolus vulgaris (common bean). RNAcentral describes it as "long non-coding RNA (PVUL_LNC002129)". The record is from RNAcentral. Lineage: Eukaryota; Viridiplantae; Streptophyta; Magnoliopsida; Fabales; Fabaceae.
AGGUUGCUAUUCGAGUCAAUCCGUAUAAAAUAGCUUGAUUGGUAAAAUGACCAGGAGGAUUCACUGCCUUUUCCAAAGGAUUCUCGCGUGCCCUAUAUGUGUGUUUUGCUCCUUAUUAUUGUGUUUUCCAAUAAUUUUUUGGUUGAUGUGUUGUCUCUGUACCCUGCUAAUCUACCUCACUUACAAAUUUAAUAUAAUGUUGUGAGCUGAGUUAACACAAAGAAAGUCGCAGUAUCCUGCACACUCCUAGCAUUUGUUGUUCUACUUCUGUUCAAUCAAACUAAAAAUUAGUUCAGGCUAAAAAUUAGUUCAGGCUAAUUUAUAUAGUGACAAAAAAAUACCAUUAAAAUUCAUAAAAAAAUCAGUAAGUACCAUUAAAAUACAAGUAUAGAUAUGCCUUUAAAGUUUUAAUGCAUCUCACUUUCGCCACUGAGUUUAACUGCUUGUUUUAUACUUUCAGAGAACUAUUGGUAGGACUAGUGGUUUAAUUUUAUUCCAUAAAGACCUAACUCAAAACACUAAUUUCAUUUCGUAAAAAUGUUGGACGUUCUUCAUUGCUGAGAAAUUAAGUAAAAAAAGUUGAGGGUGUGUUUUUCUCCCCAAGAGUAGGAUUCUAUGUACCCUGAUGUUGUUGCUAGCAAUACUUGAAAUUGAUUGGUUCUGCUUUAGUAGUGGCGAAGGUAUGAGGUAUUCUCAUCUUAGGUAUUUCAUAUAGCUUGCAUCUUGCAUUUUCAAUGCUUUUCUUAAAGGAGAAUAUGAAGUAAACACUCGAUACUUCCAUAAACUAAUCCAUUUUAUAGGUAAAUUGACGUAAAGGGGAAGGGGGUCCGUUGGGUAAAAACUUGUUGGAAGGUACUUAGUGAUGCCAAGAUAGAACCACCAAUCCAGACACUAUACUUCCUCUCAAGAGGUGCAACCACCUUGAUUUUCAUGUUGCUUGGUGCUAGAACACUGAUUUCCUUGCUCAUACGAUCAACAAUUCUAGGAAACAUAGUAGACUCACCACCACUAUACAAUUAUACAUCACAAUACUUAACACUAAGGAAGAAUGAAAAAAAAAUCUUUUUUUUUGAAGAUAUAAAGGCUAACUAAGUAAUUUAAAUAUUCAUAAACUGUAAACAAAGUAGCUCCCAAUUUUGUUCAGACAUAUGGUCCAUUUGGAGUUGCCAUGAAGUUCCUGUGAAAAGUUAUAGCAUACCAUCUUUAUUUGACAAUUUGUAUUAGACACAGACUUCAAAGAAAUUUGUAAUUACAUGAUGUACAAACUGUAAUUUAUACAAAGGGAACUUUAAAAGCUUAGUUAAUUAGGUCACUACUAAAUAUAACCUUAUUAUGGAUUAUUGAUAACAAUAUGACUCCUUACAAUGUAACGUGGGCUUCUCCAUAUAAGGGAACAUGAUACAAUUUUGCUACUUCCAAUAGAUGUGGCUUUCACAACUACUUUGAAGCUCCUAUUCUGCUAAAACUAGAAGAGAAAACUUAUAAAUAUAUUGUAAAUCAAAUGAUUCAUUAUUUUUCAUUUUUCCUCAGGUAAAGAAAAAUAUAGAGGAGAAAACUCAUCAACACAUAGAUGCUCGAUAAAAGCCCAGGUACUAUAGUUAAUUCCUUUUGUAUUUUCAUAUCAUCAUGUGGUAUGCAUUUAACAUACAUGUCUAUAUAUUUAUGUAUGUAUGUGUAUGCUAUUUAAACGAUCAAAAAUAAUUAUCCAAAAUCAAAGGCAUAUGUAUAAUCACUGAUCAAAAGUAAUAUUCUAAAUUCAUAAUCACUCUUCAUCUAAAGUAUAGUGAAAAGUAGUAGUACACCAAAUUUUAAGUAAGUUGAUGUACUGAGCGGAAAAGUAUUACUGUACCAAAUAAAAUAGAUAGGGGGCUGUGAUUUGCAAAAUGCAUCAGAACAAAUGAUUAUGAACUUUGAAGAGCUUACACUCUACAGAACACAUAAGGAUGUGCCAGAGAAAUAGGUUGCACACUGCGGGAUGUGAACAAUAUAGGAUGUGCAUGGUUGAGUAGACCAACAGAGGAUGCCAUAUUUGUGCAAAAAUGUUGUCAAUGAGCAAUGGGUCUUGGCUGUCAGUUUGAAAUAGGUCAAGUGUAAGUGUUUUUGUGUGGAUCGUUUAUGAAGAGUUUCAAACUCUAUGUUUCUAAUGAUAAAACACAAGAAAUCAUAUAAGAAUAUAUAAUGGUGGCUUGAGAAACUCAGAAAAGGAGAGCAAAAAAGUUUUUUUUAAUAUACCUAUCCAUCAUAGUGUUAUAACAACUCCAUUAUGCUAAGAUUGUGGCAUGACAUGUGCAAUUAUAUAACGUCAAAAGGUUCAUAAUAACUAGUUUAGUAACAACCUUCUUUGACAUGAUAGUGUUAUAACAUGCUAUUAUGCCCUAGCUUAUACAAAAUGAAAACUGAUAUUUUCAUAGUAGAUAUUUAUCCCACCUAAGUGGGAGAUACCUUAAUCACUUUUGUUGUCAUUGUUGUAUGUCAGCAAAUUUCUUUUCAAAAUUACGCUAUUCAUUUAUUACUUUUUUUAUUUUAAUGUAAGAAAUAUUUAUUACUCAAAAUUUUGUUUUUUAUAUGCAUUUCUUGGAUUUAUGUAGAUUUUGUCCUUUGGCAGGUUUGAUGGAGUUGUUCCAGAGCCCCAGAAUGUUUAACACUUUGCUUGCAUAUAUUGCUUCAAGAAAAGAUGUUCCAAAACAUUUUGCUGCAAUGGCAGCUAAUUGGUU